This 26-nucleotide small RNA is filed under the name Bombyx mori (domestic silkworm). Its description in RNAcentral is "ovarian small RNA-11071". The record is from RNAcentral. Lineage: Eukaryota; Metazoa; Arthropoda; Insecta; Lepidoptera; Bombycidae.
ACACUUGUAAUCUUCAUUUGGUGAAA